Molecule: long non-coding RNA, 270 nt
Filed under: Pan troglodytes (chimpanzee)
Lineage: Eukaryota; Metazoa; Chordata; Mammalia; Primates; Hominidae
Description: long non-coding RNA NONPTRT013173
Source: RNAcentral
CCGCCCUCCAGCCCCGCCCCGCUCGCUGGCCUGCCCUCCUGCUACCCUCCCGGCACAGAGAACCCCGGCUGCUCAGCGCGCUCCGCGGUCAUGGAGAUCCCCGGGAGCCUGUGCAAGAAAGUCAAGCUGAGCAAUAACGCGCAGAACUGGGGAAUGCAGAGAGCAACCAAUGUCACCUACCAAGCCCAUCAUGUCAGCAGGAACAAGAGAGGUCAGGUGGUGGGGACCAGAGGUGGCUUUCGUGGUUGCACAGUUUGGCUAACAGGUAUG